UGAUAUAAUUUUUUUUUUCCCUUUUCCAGAAAAACCCACCAAAAAACACCCAUAAGCAUAAAUCUUGAAAUACUCUUUUAAUUCAACAAUUAAUAUCUAAAACAAGAGCUGAACAAUAGUUGCAUGUCGACUUACCCGUGGUGACUUCCGAUGGAGUUGACAACUGAGUUCGACAUGAUGAGCCAAAAAACGUUCGGGUCGAGCCAUCCCAGCCACCUCUUCACUGAUCAUUUGCUGCAUAUUGAAAGUGCUAUGGUGUUCAGUUUGAAGGAAAGAAGAGACGGAAUCACAGUGAGGUGGGAAACUGCUAUGGUGUUCAGUUUGAGGAAAGAAGAGACAGAAUCACAGUGGUGGUGCUGAUCAAAAUGUGCAUGUGCGGAGGGAUA
RNAcentral lists this long non-coding RNA (386 nucleotides) under Vitis vinifera (wine grape). Its description in RNAcentral is "long non-coding RNA (VVIN_LNC006674)". The record is from RNAcentral. Lineage: Eukaryota; Viridiplantae; Streptophyta; Magnoliopsida; Vitales; Vitaceae.